CCUAAUUUUAACUUAAACAGUUGUAUCUCUUGCAUCAUAGCACGCCAUUUGCCUUCAUUAUUAUUGUAAUGUCAUUUUAAUGUCAUCGAUCCUAGAAUGAUCUCAAAUGUCCUAUAUUUUGUAUUAGGUUCAUUUUGUAAACGAACGAAACCUAGGAUAUAAUACUGAUAGGUACUCCAACAUCGUUUAAUUUCUAUUGCACCUAGCACGCCAUUUGCCUUCAUUAUUAUUGUAAUGUCAUUUUAAUGUCAUCGAUCCUAGAAUGAUCUCAAAUGUCCUAUAUUUUGUAUUAGGUACAUUUUGUAAACGAACGAAAACUAGGAUUUAAUACUGAUAGGUACUCCAACAUCGUUUAAUUUCUAUUGCACCCUAGCACGCCAUUUGCCUUCAUUAUUAGUGUAAUCUCAUUUUAAUGUCGUCGAUCCUAGAAUGAUCUCAAAUGUCCUAUAUUAUGUAUUAGGUUCAUUUUGUAAACGAACGAAACCUAGGAUUUAAUACUGAUAGGUACUCCAACAUCGUUUAAUUUCUAUUGCACCUAGCACGCCUUUUGCUUUCAUUAUUAUUGUAAUGUCAUUUUAAUUUCAUCGAUCCUAGAAUGAUCUCAAAUGUCCUAUAUUUUGCAUUAGGUACAUUUUGUAAACGAACGAAAACUAGGAUUUAAUACUGAUAUUCCAACAUCGUUUAAUUUCUAUUGCACCUAGCACGCCAUUUUCCUUCAUUAUUAUUCUAAUCUCAGGUACAUUUUGUAAAGGAACGAAAACUAUGAUUUAAUACUGAUAUCCGAAUAUCAUCUUAUUUUCUAUUGCACCUAGUACGCCAUUUGCCCUCAUUAUUGUUCUAAUCUCAGGUACAUUUUGUAAACGAACGAAACCUAGGAUUUAAUACUGAUAGGUACUCCAACAUCGUUUAAUUUCUAUUGCACCUAGCACGCCUUUUGCCUUCCUUAUUAUUGUAAUGUCAUUUUAAUUUCAUCGAUCCUAGAAUGAUCUCAAAUGUCCUAUAUUUUGUAUUAGGUACAUUUUCUAAACGAAUGAAACCUAGGAUUUAGUACUGAUAGGUACUCCAACAUCGUUUAAUUUCUAUUGCACCUAGCACGCCAUUUGCCUUCAUUAUUAUUGUAAUCUCAUUUUAAUUUCAUCGAUCCUAGAAUGAUCUCAAAUGUCCUAUAUUUUGUAUUAGGUACAUUUUGUAAACGAACGAAAACUAGGAUUUAAUACUGAUAGGUACUCCAACAUCGUUUAAUUUCUAUUGCACCUAGCACGCCUUUUGCUUUCAUUAUUAUUGUAAUGUCAUUUUAAUUUCAUCGAUCCUAGAAUGAUCUCAAAUGUCCUAUAUAUUUUUCUUUAGGUACAUUUUGUAAACGAACGAAAACUAGGAUUUAAUACUGAUAGGUACUCCAACAUCGUUUAAUUUCUAUUGCACCUAGCACGCCAUUUGCCUUCAUUAUUAUUGUAAUAUCAUUUUAAUUUCAUUGAUCCUAGAAUGAUCUCAAAUGUCCUAUAUUUUGCAUUAGGUACAUUUUGUAAACGAACGAAAACUAGGAUUUAAUACUGAUAUUCCAACAUCGUCUUAAAUUUCUAUUGCACUUAGCACCCCAUUUGUCUUCAUUAUUAUUCUAAUCUAAUUUUGACGAUCCUAUAAUUAUUUCAUCAUAAUUCAUAAAUCCGAUCUUAAAAUAUGUCUCGCAAUCUUUACUUUUUCCCAAAAAUCCUAUGUUCCUAGUCUUCUUGCAUCAUAUUUUGAAACAUUGUGAUUCAUUACGUGGUAACGUCACUUCCUAUUUGCAGUAUGACUGAAAUAAUUCUACGUCUUGCACCAUAGCACGCAAUCUUUAUAUUAUUACUGUUUUAUCUCAUAUGUAAUUGAAUCUCAACGAUCCUCCAUACUCCAUUCUCUUUAUAAAUUAUAUUAUGUUUUUCAAGUUCAAAUCGUUUAAUGCGAAUAUAAGUCAAGUGUAAUUAUUGUAAAUAUAAGUUUAUAUUAAUAUUAGAAUGCUCUAACCGACGCAUACGUUACAAUGUAUAAAAAUAAAUUUUCGCAUAUGUCACGUAAUUUGUACUUUAUCCAAAAAACCAAUCAGCCUAGUCUAUUCUUGCAUCAUAUUUCGUAAACCUUUCUAAUGAACUUGAACAGUUUUAUAUCUUGCAUCAUAGUAAGCAAUUCUGAUCUCACUGUUGAAUCUUUACGUCCUUAGUACGACUUAAAAAUAACCAACCGAAAUUGCGUCAUCAUUACCCUGAUGUUAAAAUUAAUCUUAAAAGUAUGAUUACAAUCUUCUUCUUGCAUUACAAAACGUAAAUUCAUGAUCUUAAAAUUAUCACGGUCAAAAUUGUACAUCAUUGUCCAAUUGUAUUUAUAUUUUCGUAAAAACGUUUGAUUUUGCAACCGAAAUGUUGUCUUCCGCCUAUUUUCUUCACAUCAUAUUUUAACGUAUGUGUACCAUAUAUUUUUAACUCAAUCCUUGUACCUUCUCCAUUUUCAAUUGUUUUAGCUCUUGCAUGGAUGUUCCUAAAACAAUAUCGUGUAGCCUAGAUCUUAAAUUAUCAUUAUAUCUGAACCUAGUUUGUUAUUGCUGAUAUUUGUGUAACUGCAUUUUCGUCAUAGUCAUCAUUUCUUACUUUUACCGUCUAUUCUUCCUAACGUUAGCCAAUUUUGGUCUCUAUUGCCUAUCCACUUAUUAUGUGCAAUUUAUCAUAACAAUAUAUUUCAUUUUUAACACUAACAAUAAGAUUGUGAUUUCCGUGUACGCAAUUAUGUAAACUUAAAAAAACCGUUGGUAUGUUAUAAUUGUAAUUUCGUAGUUAGUAUUCCGUAUCGUAGUUAUUAAUUUUAUUGACAAAAAUAAAUAAACAUAAACGUAAGAAAUAAAUAAAUGUAAAUUUAAAAAUAAAUUAGUAAUUUACGUACCUAUUAAUAACUCUUCCGCAAUUAUCAUCAUCGUCACAAAAGUCGUUA
This is a long non-coding RNA of Spodoptera frugiperda (fall armyworm), 2955 nucleotides long. RefSeq lists it as uncharacterized. The record is from RefSeq and is a predicted model, not a curated record. The transcript has 7 exons. NCBI's taxonomy places the organism in Eukaryota, Metazoa, Arthropoda, Insecta, Lepidoptera, Noctuidae.